Molecule: ribosomal RNA, 254 nt
Filed under: uncultured bacterium
Lineage: Bacteria
Description: partial 16S ribosomal RNA
Rfam family: Bacterial small subunit ribosomal RNA
Source: RNAcentral
UACGUAGGGUGCAAGCGUUGUCCGGAAUUAUUGGGCGUAAAGAGCUCGUAGGCGGUUUGUCGCGUCUGCUGUGAAAACUCGGGGCUUAACCCCGGGCCUGCAGUGGGUACGGGCAGACUAGAGUGCGGUAGGGGAGACUGGAAUUCCUGGUGUAGCGGUGAAAUGCGCAGAUAUCAGGAGGAACACCGGUGGCGAAGGCGGCGACCUGGUCCUUUUACUGACGCUGAGGCGCGAAAGCGUGGGGAGCAAACAGG